This 299-nucleotide ribosomal RNA is filed under the name Macrobrachium acherontium. RNAcentral describes it as "partial 16S ribosomal RNA". Lineage: Eukaryota; Metazoa; Arthropoda; Malacostraca; Decapoda; Palaemonidae. The record is from RNAcentral.
CGAAGGUAGCAUAAUCAGUAGUCUUUUAAUUGAAGGCUUGAAUGAAUGGUUGGACGAGAAGUAAGCUGUCCUUUUAUAUAAUUUGAAUUUAACUUUUAAGUGAAAAGGCUUAAAUUAUUUAGUGGGACGAUAAGACCCUAUAAAACUUGAUAUAAGUUUAAUUUAAUUUGUGAUUUAAGUGAAGAGCAAUUUUGUUAAAUUUAUAUUUUGUUGGGGAGANGUAGAUAUAAAGUGUAACUGUCUAUUAAAUUUAAUAGUAAUAACUAAUUUUUGAUCCUUCUGUGGGGAUUGGGAGAAUA